CACGUAGGGUGCGAGCGUUGUCCGGAAUUAUUGGGCGUAAAGAGCUCGUAGGCGGUGUGUCGCGUCGGCCGUGAAAACCUGUGGCUUAACUAUGGGCUUGCGGUCGAUACGAGCAUCACUGGAGUUCGGCAGGGGAGACUGGAAUUCCUGGUGUAGCGGUGAAAUGCGCAGAUAUCAGGAGGAACACCGGUGGCGAAGGCGGGUCUCUGGGCCGAUACUGACGCUGAGGAGCGAAAGCGUGGGGAGCGAACAGG
RNAcentral lists this ribosomal RNA (254 nucleotides) under uncultured bacterium. RNAcentral describes it as "partial 16S ribosomal RNA". It matches the Rfam family "Bacterial small subunit ribosomal RNA", at positions 524 to 776 of the family's 1533-position model. The record is from RNAcentral.